UACGGAGGGUGCGAGCGUUGUCCGGAAUCAUUGGGCGUAAAGCGCGUGUAGGCGGCCCGGUAAGUCCGCUGUGAAAGUCGGGGGCUCAACCCUCGGAUGCCGGUGGAUACUGUCGGGCUAGAGUACGGAAGAGGCGAGUGGAAUUCCUGGUGUAGCGGUGAAAUGCGCAGAUAUCAGGAGGAACACCAAUUGCGAAGGCAGCUCGCUGGGACGUUACUGACGCUGAGACGCGAAAGCGUGGGGAGCAAACAGG
Molecule: ribosomal RNA, 253 nt
Filed under: uncultured bacterium
Lineage: Bacteria
Description: partial 16S ribosomal RNA
Rfam family: Bacterial small subunit ribosomal RNA
Source: RNAcentral